RNAcentral lists this ribosomal RNA (268 nucleotides) under uncultured Alphaproteobacteria bacterium. RNAcentral describes it as "partial 16S ribosomal RNA". It matches the Rfam family "Bacterial small subunit ribosomal RNA", at positions 20 to 318 of the family's 1533-position model. The record is from RNAcentral. Lineage: Bacteria; Pseudomonadati; Pseudomonadota; Alphaproteobacteria.
UGGCUCAGAACGAACGCUGGCGGCAGGCCUAACGCAUGCAAGUCGAGCGCCCCGCAAGGGGAGCGGCAGACGGGAGAGUAACACGUGGGAACGUACCCUUCAGUUCGGAACAACCAAGGGAAACUUUGGCUAAUACCGAAUACGUCCGUAAGGAGAAAGAUUUAUCGCUGAAGGAUCGGCCCGCGUCUGAUUAGCUAGUUGGUGGGGUAUUUUCCCACCAAGGCGGGGGACAGUAGCUGGUCUGAGAGGAUGAUCAGCCUCACUGGGA